GGCUAAUCUACAAAAUUGCCUUUUCUUAGGAAUCGUUCACCCUUAUCUUCAUCCUUGAAUCGGGCAGAAAAGGAGGCUGCCUAAUCCGACGCUGCUCCUCGCUUUAUUCCGGCCCGACGGCUGCCAAAAAAGCUUAAUCAGCAUGCUGCCGACCCCUCUCCCAUCCACCAGCCUCCGAUCCCGCGAUUAGGGGUCGAACCAUCGGUAAAGACGGGAUCCGGCGGUUCCCCUUUUUUUCAAAAACCUAUAAAAGAUGAUCGCCGGUGGCCAUAACGGGCGGGAAACCGCCUGCAGCCAGCCUCCAACCUUGAUGCUGGCGCAGACGGCGAGCCCCAGCUGGUUUUUUUUUUUUGGUUGGAUGUCCUUCAAAACAGAUAUAAGGAAGAGGAAGGGUCGGUGUCCGGCGCCGCGGCCCGCUGGGAUUACCGUCGGCCUAUUCCAGACAGCCGCCGGUGACCCCAUCCGGUCAUCAGAUGAGAGGAAGCGGCGGAGGGCACGGCGGCAGGAAUCACCGUCCCUUUUUCUUUUCUUCUGAUUUUUUUUUUUCUUGAUUAGACCGCGGGUGGUAACUAGAAA
This 576-nucleotide long non-coding RNA is filed under the name Elaeis guineensis (African oil palm). RNAcentral's name for it is "long non-coding RNA (EGUI_LNC024317)". The record is from RNAcentral. Lineage: Eukaryota; Viridiplantae; Streptophyta; Magnoliopsida; Arecales; Arecaceae.